GCUUUGCACUUACCAUAUGGCGGUGCAGGCCGAUCACUACUUAGGGUGGUCAGCUUAGUUGUCCUGCUUAGGCGAACACACAUCUGGGUUUGGCAUAACGUCGAGUAGCCUUGAGCAAAAGACGGAGCCAGC
Molecule: non-coding RNA, 132 nt
Filed under: unclassified sequences
Description: Bacteriophage Diversity-Generating Retroelement RNA
Rfam family: Bacteriophage Diversity-Generating Retroelement RNA
Source: Rfam by way of RNAcentral